GGCAUAAAAUGUAAGAAUGUAGAACAUAAAAUGAGCCUUUAUGCGGAUGAUGUGUUACUUUUUCUCCAAAACUCACAAACCAAUCUCUCUGGGGUGAUUACAUCUUUCUCAAAAGUCUCAGAUUAUUCAAUUAACUGGACAAAAUCUACAGCUCUUCCAAUUAAUUGCUCCUUCUAUAAUUCUUCAUCUACCCGACUGCAAUCUGGAAAUAUUAAAUAUUUAGGUAUCAAUAUCUCUCCUAAGCUUGCAGAAUUAACUAAAUUAAAACACAUCCCACCUGCACGCCACUGCAACCCCCUCUGGCCUCUGUUCCGUAGCUGCGGGGUGACCUCUCGUUUAGGGCUGUACUCAGCUCUUCCCAGGAGGGUGGCACGGUUCCCCCCCUUUGGUGGUCCUCCUCGGGUCCUUGUACUCUGGGGCCUCUGGAUAUCUGGGGCCUGGAUCUCCUCCAUACCUGCUUCAUACCCUGGUGGACGGGGCUGUGGCUCCCCACACUCCCUAGCAGAUCGUUACAUGGAGAAACCUUUGGAAUACAAGCAUGCUGAUCCACACAGGUGUGCACACAGGUGUACACACGGGUGUUCACAGACGCGGACUACACCUUUCUUGGCUGCUGCCUCAAAGCACAUUGUGCGCUGUCUAUCUUGCGUGCUGCACAAUAUCGUUUAAUAUUUAGUAUCUACUGUUAUCUACUGCUAGCUAGUUUAUUGUGAUGGUGCUGUUUUUUUUAUUAUGUUGCUCUUUGUUGUUGGCUUUCUCUUCUGUUUUUUUUCUCCAUACAGGUGAUCCAGGUGUUUUGUUUUUGUUUUUUCUUUCUUCCCCCCCUUCUCACCGUCUCUUCUCCCCUUUGGUUUUCUUUCUCUCCCUCUCUUUCUUUCAUUCUUUCUCCCUGUCCUAUCCCCCAGUCAUGUCUGUCCCGUUUGUAGCAACCGAAAAUAAAAUAAAUUCAGAAUUAUAAUAAAGGUCAAUCAAAUGGACCAAUAUGGUAAGGCCAUGAUGAUCCACUUGGUAAAAUAAAUCCGCUUGGCAUCUUUCUUGGCCUUAAGACAACAAUUCUGCUGGCUAAAGAUCCAAACGGGACACAAAAAAAACAAACAAAAAAAACACAUCUCACCUUUAAAGACAGUAGAAGGCGAUCUGGCUAGAUGGAAAUCUCUACCCAUAUCACUCAUGGGAAGGGUUGCCGCUAUAAAAAUGAUGGUCUUGCCAUGUCAUGUCUGCCCCGUCUGUAACAACCGAAAAUCAAAUAAAUAAAUACUUUUUAAAAAAAAAGGAAAAAAAGGAAGCUUCUAACCAGGUACUAAAACAGGUCUACAUCCAUACGUAACUACUAAGACUCUGAGGUCAACUCAUCUAUGCUCCCGGUCCACUGGCCCACUGUGGUAAAGAUAGAGACGAGGAUGAAGCUGAGCUAUGUUACUGCCAAAAGCUGUGGGUAGUGACCGAAAUAACAAAAGAAUAACACAGUGGACACAGUCAGCAGAAAUGAAUCCCCUAUUAUGGGUUUCAGGCUCUUCCUUAGAAACAGAGGAGCUAGAAGAGGUGAUUCAGGCAUUUCUCUGAGAUGCCUUGCCAGACCAAGAUGAGGUCUUUGGAGCCUGUCUAACCAGGAGGAGACUGCUGGGUUGACCAAGGACAUGUCCAAGUUA
This is a long non-coding RNA of Astatotilapia calliptera (eastern happy), 1649 nucleotides long. Lineage: Eukaryota; Metazoa; Chordata; Actinopteri; Cichliformes; Cichlidae. The record is from Ensembl.